RNAcentral lists this ribosomal RNA (497 nucleotides) under uncultured bacterium. Its description in RNAcentral is "partial 16S ribosomal RNA". It matches the Rfam family "Bacterial small subunit ribosomal RNA", at positions 28 to 507 of the family's 1533-position model. The record is from RNAcentral.
GAUGAACGCUGGCGGCGUGCCUAAUACAUGCAAGUCGAGCGAACGGACGAGAAGCUUGCUUCUCUGAUGUUAGCGGCGGACGGGUGAGUAACACGUGGCUAACCUACCUAUAAGACUGGGAUAACUUCGGGAAACCGGAGCUAAUACCGGAUAAUAUUUUGAACCGCAUGGUUCAAAAGUGAAAGACGGUCUUGCUGUCACUUAUAGAUGGAUCCGCGCUGCAUUAGCUAGUUGGUAAGGUAACGGCUUACCAAGGCAACGAUGCAUAGCCGACCUGAGAGGGUGCUCGGCCACACUGGAACUGAGACACGGUCCAGACUCCUACGGGAGGCAGCAGUAGGGAAUCGUCCGCAAUGGGCGAAAGCCUGACGGAGCAACGCCGCGUGAGUGAUGAGGGUCUUCGGAUCGUAAAACUCUGUUAUUAGGGAAGAACAUAUGUGUAAGUAACUGUGCACAUCUUGACGGUACCUAAUCAGAAAGCCACGGCUAACUACGUG